AUUGAACGCUGGCGGCAUGCUUUACACAUGCAAGUCGAACGGCAGCACGGGGGCAACCCUGGUGGCGAGUGGCGAACGGGUGAGUAAUGCAUCGGAACGUAUCUUCGAGUGGGGGAUAACGCACCGAAAGGUGUGCUAAUACCGCAUAAUCUCUAAGGAGAAAAGCAGGGGAUCGCAAGACCUUGCGCUCUUGGAGCGGCCGAUGUCUGAUUAGCUAGUUGGGAGGUAA
This 229-nucleotide ribosomal RNA is filed under the name uncultured bacterium. RNAcentral's name for it is "partial 16S ribosomal RNA". It matches the Rfam family "Bacterial small subunit ribosomal RNA", at positions 30 to 260 of the family's 1533-position model. The record is from RNAcentral.